This is an unclassified non-coding RNA of Ictidomys tridecemlineatus (thirteen-lined ground squirrel), 113 nucleotides long. Its record names the gene 7SK. It matches the Rfam family "7SK RNA". From Rfam's summary of the family: 7SK was discovered as an abundant small nuclear RNA in the mid-70s but a possible function has only recently been suggested. Two independent studies have found that 7SK RNA binds the CDK9/cyclin T complex (known as elongation factor P-TEFb). The record is from Ensembl. NCBI's taxonomy places the organism in Eukaryota, Metazoa, Chordata, Mammalia, Rodentia, Sciuridae.
CUUUGGUCAAAGGUAUAUGAGUAGCUGAACUCCCUUGCUGGAAUCUCUAAUCAAGCUCUCAAGAUAGCUGAGUAGACAAGUAAGAGAUGAUGGAAACUGUAGGCAGGUGAAGC